This 253-nucleotide ribosomal RNA is filed under the name uncultured bacterium. RNAcentral describes it as "partial 16S ribosomal RNA". It matches the Rfam family "Bacterial small subunit ribosomal RNA", at positions 524 to 776 of the family's 1533-position model. The record is from RNAcentral.
UACGAGGGGGGCAAGCGUUGUUCGGAAUUAUUGGGCGUAAAGCGCGCGCAGGCGGUCCUUUAAGUCUGAUGUGAAAGCCCACGGCUCAACCGUGGAAACGCCUUCGAAACUGUGGAGCUUGAGGCUGGGAGAGGAGAUCGGAAUUCCUGGUGUAGCGGUGAAAUGCGUAGAUAUCGAGAGGAACACCGGUGGCGAAGGCGGCGAUCUGGACGAUGACUGACGCUGAGACGCGAAAGCGUGGGGAGCAAACAGG